RNAcentral lists this ribosomal RNA (205 nucleotides) under uncultured Latescibacterota bacterium. RNAcentral describes it as "uncultured Latescibacteria bacterium partial 16S ribosomal RNA". It matches the Rfam family "Bacterial small subunit ribosomal RNA", at positions 1178 to 1382 of the family's 1533-position model. Lineage: Bacteria; Pseudomonadati; Candidatus Latescibacterota. The record is from RNAcentral.
CGUGACGUCAAGUCCUCAUGGCCCUUACAUCCCGGGCUACACACGUGCUACAAUGGCAGGUACAGAGGGCUGCGAAGCCGCGAGGUGGAGCGAAUCCCAGAAAACCUGUCUCAGUCCGGAUUGAAGUCUGCAACUCGACUUCAUGAAGGCGGAAUCGCUAGUAACCGCGAAUCAGCAGGUCGCGGUGAAUACGUUCCCGGGCCUU